UGGGACAAGAACGAUCAUAGAAGAUU
RNAcentral lists this non-coding RNA (26 nucleotides) under Rattus norvegicus (Norway rat). The record is from RNAcentral. Lineage: Eukaryota; Metazoa; Chordata; Mammalia; Rodentia; Muridae.